This 6009-nucleotide long non-coding RNA is filed under the name Sus scrofa (pig). Its description in RNAcentral is "lncRNA (ENSSSCG00000062295.1)". The record is from RNAcentral. Lineage: Eukaryota; Metazoa; Chordata; Mammalia; Artiodactyla; Suidae.
GUGGCACAGUGGUUAACGAAUCUGACUAGGAACCAUGAGGUUGCAGGUUCGAUCCCUGCCCUUGCUCAGUGGGUUUACGAUCCGGCAUUGCGGUGAGCUGUGGUGUAGGUCGCAGACGCGACUCGGAUCCCGCAUUUCUGUGGCUCUGGUGUAGGCCGGCAGCUACAGCUCCAAUUAGACCCCUGGCCUGGGAACCUCCAUAUGCCGCGGGAGCAGCUCUAGAAAAGGCAAAAAGACAAAAAAAAAAAAAAAAAAAAAAGUCUACUCUGACGAAUAUACUCUUAACAAAAGGCACUACAAAAUAAGCAGAUAAAAAGCCAUGUUGGCAUAGGACUAUUGCUCUAAGUUUUUGGUAAAGUCAAUCAGCCAACAUGUUUGACUAAUUCCUGACGCACUGACCAAAUAGCAGAUUAACUGAAAUACAUGGUCAGUAAAAAGUUAUGCAAAUAAUGCACUCUAAUAAGUUAAGAAGAUGGGUCCUUUAAGUAGUAUCAAGAAAAGUAGGGUUGCGUUUCCCUAACGUUCCUCUCAUAGAAAUGCUAAAUCUUUCUGAGUCUUAAUAAAAUUUUCAAACACUGGGUUGGUGAUGUGCCCUCUCUUAUGGUUGUAGUUAUCUGAUCAUCCGAGAAUUGAGGGGAAAUCUUCAGAUUCAAGAUCAUUUGCAUGAACUUUUUUCCUUAGCAAUACACCUUUCAUUUAGAAAAGCAUCCUGGGAGUUCCCAUUGUGGUCAGUGGAAACGAACCCAACGAGUAUCCUUGAGGACGUGGGUUCAAUCCCUAGCCCUGCUCAGUGGGUUAAGGAUCCAGCGUUGCCCCAAGCUGUGGUGCAGAUGCGGCUCAGAUCCUGUGUUGCUGUGGCUGUGGUAUAGGCCAACAGCUAUAGCUCAGAUUCAUCCCCUAGCCUGGGAACUUCCAUAUGCCACAGGUGUGGCUCUAAAAAGGAAAAAAGAAAAGAAAGAAAAGAAAAGCAUCCUGACUUGGUCCAGAAUGUAUUUCCCCUUCACUCAGCAAGACACCCCCCUUCCCCCACCAAAUAUCCAUUAUAGCAAGAAAAUAGGAUGUGGGCUGUGGAAAAAUAAAUGUGCAGCAUAGAAAGCAUGUUGGUUAAUAUUAUAGGCGAUCCUGGGUGUCCACUCUCCUAGGCAUCCUUUCAGCUUCAUUUGAUCUAAAGUAUUCAGAGGAGUAUUUUUGAACACCCCACUGUUCAGAACUAAGGCAGAUGCAGUCACAUCUUCUAGUUGUGUUCUGAAUCUGCUGAGGGUGUUUCUCUUUCCAGUAUGCAAAACCGACCUCUCUUCAUUGCUGCUGUUGCUGCUAUAGAUCCAUUCCUCCAAUUCCCCAUGAUGUUCCAAAGGCAGUGGAUGGCUGCUUGUAUCCCGCUGACACAAGGAUAAGAGGCCCCCUUAGAGUUCUGUUUGGAGACCCCUGAGUAUCAGCUGAUGGUUCCAGCUUCCAAGUGGGAGGAACUUCCUUGGAUGAUCAAGGAACCUGAUUAGUUGCUUUAACCAAAGCUCAAAGCAUGAUGUCUCUGACAACAUCAAACAAAGCUUAUGCACAAGGGUGAGCGUGGCAAUGCCUUAAUAGAACUGUUCUGUUUUCAAAAUGUUGAAUUUUACAUAUUGAGGACUCUCUCUGAACCUCCCAGCUGAUUUUUAUGGGAGGUUCCAAUCUUCCUCACCUUUGACACCGUCUGCAAGAAAAUGGCUUGGAAACACUGCCUGUAAGGGUAUAAACUGUAUGACUUUUACUUUGGAGAAUGCAAGGAUUUCUGAUAAAUGGAUGGUGAAAGUUCACUCCAAGUUUUUAUUAAAAAGAAUAAAUGAAGGAGUUCCCAGGUGGUGCAGUGGGUUAAGGAUCUGGCAUUGUCACUGUAUCAACCCAGGGUCACUGCUGUGGUGAUCUCUGGCCCGGGAACCUCCACAUGCCACAGGUAUGACAAAAAUAAAAAAGAAUAAAUGAAAACCUAGGAAUAUUGAAGCCCUUGGACUUUUAACUGUGUGAUUAUCAUCAUUUUCCCUGAGAGCAGUUCUAUGGGAAGUAAGGAGAGAAAAACAGACAAGGAAAAUAAUUCACUGGCUCCAACUUUAGAAGCAUUACUUCAUCUGGUAGUGUUUCCCCUGUUUGGUUUUGGGCAACAGUCAGCUCACACUUUGUAACAACCCACUGAGUGCCAAGCAAGCUAGGAAGCCGGCCUGAAUGUGAGGCAGACUCUGCAGCCGCACCAAUACCUCCCUAAAUUUUCCUGGGCUGCAAAACCCUCUUUCUUUGCCUAAUUUUGUUUGUGUUUGUUCGCAGCACCUCAGAGUAGAAGACUGUGCAAUUCAAUAGUGUUUAUGAAGAACGCACUGAAAUCCUGUUACUUUUGUUAGUCUGGUGUUGGAGCCAGUGUAGGCCUCCUCUGCACCUCCUCCCCACCCCCCGCAAAACCCAAGGGUCAAAUUUCUACAGGUGUGAUUUUUCAAACCUGGCAUAAUUUUCUUUUCUCCUUAAAAAAAAAGUUUUAAAAUGUCUCGUUCUUUAAGCUAGCAUAAGUUUCAAUGUGUCUAGGAAUGAGUAUUGAGAAAAAAGUUAAAUGAAUCAUCCAAUCUUUUUCUACUUUUGAAAAAUACAUGUGAUUUUUCUUGAAACUAUCACCGUUGCCCAAUUGUAUUAUUUGUGCCAGUUUCUUUAAAAUAACAUGGUGUGUUAGCAGCCUACAAGUAGUUAAGUAUCUCUUUACUUUGAGUAAAAGUAUAGAGACUUUUAUUUUCAUCAGCAAAUUCUGUAAUUCCUCCAUAGGAGAACAAUUACUGUAGCUGAAUCUCAGAUGCCUAAGGUAUGUCUUUCAUAAAUUCAAAACAUUUGGGGGACAUUUUAUUGAAGAAUUUAACAAAAGCGUUAAAUGCAAUGUUUAUAAAUAUUUGUUGAGCAUCGACUAGAUACCAGGCACUGCAAGGGCUAUAACAUGGUCUCCUCUGCACAGAAUCUUACAAUCAACUGGAAAGAUGAGAGAACUUCCAGAUCAAAGGCAGUACAAGGCAAUGUGGUGAGUCCCUUUGUCCCCACCCUCAGCCCGUGGAUCUCAAAUGGAACCAGCAUUUUUAGUCAACUCGCUUUGGGGUUUGCGCAUCGUUGUUCCAUUUGAAGCUGCACGUAGGUCUCCCUACUGCAUCCUAUGGCCUUUGGGAAGCCGCUCUGAAGGUUUCCCUAGACUUAGGACAGUAUUUGAUGGGUUAGAAGUGGCAACAGUGGAUGCCUUACUGGACAAUAUAAAUGGCAACUGUAAUCCCUUAAAUCUGGAAUAGAAUUUUGCUAGUUUGUUCAUUCCCAAAGAAGAGACUAUUAGAAUAAGUGAAUGUCCCUCAACCAGCAUUGUGUCUAUACACCCCCAACACAAUGGGGGAAAGAGAUGGAAUUCAGUGUUAUAAAAGGCUUGGCAUGUUUGAUUGAAGAGAUUCUUCUAUGCUAAAUGUCCCCAAUGGUCCUUCCUAUGACUACUGCCCCUAAUCGACUAUUCCAGGGUGCAUGUGAGUCCAUAGGAUCCAGUCUUAGAAUGACCCACUCAGAAAUGCAAUGAGUUGAAUAUUCACUCAUCUGACUGCACUUCAUGUUGACUUACUUCACUCCCUCAUUGUGGUGAAGAAUAUUUUCAUGGUGUGCUAUUUAGCCCGUCCUGUGAAAACACUGUUUGCAUGAGGUUGGAUCACACCUAUUCACAUAUCAUAGACACCUGUUUAUUCUACCAAGGAAAGUUUUGAUUACCUGAAUCUAGGAAAUGCUUGUUUUUCUUCACCCAGUCUAGACACGCUUGGUGUUUAGACACCUAAAAGUCCUUACUUUUCACUGAGUACUUUCCUAUUUCAGCCUUUGCCCACAAUGCUUUCUCUACUGGAAUGGCUUCCUCAACCCUCCCCUUUCUGAAUUAUCAAAAUUACAGGCAGCCUUCAGGGUUCAGUUUGAGCAUCACCAGAAAAUGUUCCCUACUCUUAAUUGGAAGAAAUGUCUCUUCUUCAAAUGAAUACCAUCAUGCUAUUUUUUGAAUACUUUAUAGUACUUCUCACUUUCCACCGAAGGUCAUAUAGAGGCUUGAUAUACAUUUGUUCUUUCUCUCCUGUCACCUGCACAGUCCUUGAAAGGAUCAGACAAAACUUAAAAGAGGCACUCUAGACAGAAGAACUUUCAGAGAGCACGUCUGGUUUUGCUUGCUUUGUAUCACUUGUGCCUGUCAUAGAGUCAGAAGCAUAGUAGGUGCUCAAUAAAUAUCUGUACAAUGAUCCAGUAGAUAGGUCUGGCACAUAAACACACCUAAUAAAUACUGAAUUAAUCAGGAAGAUGAUGUUCAAUUUGCAUAGUAACCUUAAAUCAUGAAAUAUGCACAUCCUCAGUUCCUUCCUAAUUUUCCCUUUUUUAAUUCUGCCUUGUAACCCAAUCCUCCUCCUGUCCUCGGCAGUUCUUCUAAGACCUUUUAGGUUCUUGUGCUGUGCUGCAACAGUUGCAUUUAAUUUCUCUUUCAUGUGUUGUAUGGACCUUAAUACUGUCCAAAAAGUUUAAGAAGUGGCUUUUGUUCAUUUAAUCGGAGUACAUCAUGUCUAGCCUUUUGAUUUGCUUGGGUUUUAUUUCUCUUCUUGGAAGAAGUCCUGCCUAUUGAUGCCAGGAAUCUCUUAGAGAAAUGACUGCAUAAGAUUGAACUUACAGAGCCAUGGUUUUGGUCUUAUAGGCAUCAUAGAGAGACUCAAGACUCCUUUAUUUUACCAGAGGCCCAAGGCCUGGAGAGGUACAGUGACUCUGUGAACUAAGGAGACAAAAGGACAUGGUUAGAUCUGGUUUUAGUUUAGGUGUUCUAGCUGUACACUGUGACUUGGGAGAUUACUUUGCCAGAGCUAUUUUUAAAAUUUGGAGGUAUGGGAGCUGUGAUAGGUGAUGGGGUCAGGGAAAGGCCGUUGUGAAGAGGGCAUCCUCAACUUCAAUUUAGCUCUAAAAUUUAAUGUAACUACUGCCUCAUGCUGUCUGUUCUAGAAUAAAGAAAAGUCUAUCCUCAAGCCCGUGGCCAUAGUUCUGCAUGACCAUAUUUUCACACUGCAUUUUGGAUCAUUUCAUGGACAGAUUCCACUAGCUGCAUCCCUAAAGUGAAAAUGACAUAUACUCUGGGCAGAAUUUAUGGGCCACUGCAAAAAUUAACAUGAUUAACUAUUUACAAAGAUCACAGAAAAUCCGGCAACCUUGAUAAAAACCACGGUCCCCCUCCUAAACUAUUAUAGAGGUCAGAUUCUAGCCUGUUGAUCUCGAAGUAGAAAGAAAAUUAUUUACACUGCCAUUGGCAUUGCCUUCAUUAGAUACUUCUCUUGUAGGGGGGAAAAAAUGGAAUCCAGCCCCUGAAAAAAAAGUGUCUAAGUGGAGAAAACACUGGGUUAGUAAGCUUCUAACCAAAGUUCUCUGAUUACUUCAUAGGAUCUUACUUUCUUUACAAAUAAAGCAUUUCCUUCUUAGCUUUCUUUCAACAAUUUUUCCCAAUUUUUUCUAUUUGGAUUUCAUAGCAAACUGACUACAGAAUUGAGUAAGACAGUCUCAAACAUUAAAUCCAUUUAUCAUUUACUAUUUUGCUUGUACUAAUAAUUCUAAUUACCCCAACUGCCUCCUCCGCCUUUUAAUUUCUUUGUUUGAUGCAAAUUUGAUGUCUCCUCUUUAUAAGAGAAUUUGCUAAAAGGCUGAUUAUGGCUUCUUUUCAUUAAAUUUUAUGUCUAGAAACCCUAAGUAUAUCUUGAAGGAAACUUCCAUCAUUUUCUUUGAUAGUAUGGUGCCUCAAACUGUUCAGAUGCCUACACUUUGGUCUUAUAGUUCAAUGUCUAUAUAUUUACAUGAGGAAAACAAUGCCAAUUUCUGUUUGAACAAAAAUGAAGUGAAAAUGAAAAGCGUAGGAAUUCCCUGGUGGUUUAGUGGGUUAAGGAUCCCGCACUGUCACUGCUCUGGCUCAUGUCGCUGCUGUGGUGCAGGUUUGAUCCCUGGCCCAGUAACUUCUCCAUGUCAUGGGUG